RNAcentral lists this ribosomal RNA (361 nucleotides) under uncultured bacterium. Its description in RNAcentral is "SSU rRNA". It matches the Rfam family "Bacterial small subunit ribosomal RNA", at positions 26 to 380 of the family's 1533-position model. The record is from RNAcentral.
AGAACGAACGCUGGCGGCGUGGAUAAGACAUGCAAGUCGAACGCGACUUAUCGAGUUAGCAAUAAUUUGGUAAGUUGAGUGGCGAAAGGGUGCGUAACACGUGGGAAAUUACCAAGAAGUGGGGAAUAGCUCGACGAAAGUCGAAUUAAUACCGCAUAUGAUCGCAAGAUCAAAGCCGGGGACCGCAAGGCCUGGCGCUUUUUGAGAUGCCCGCGGCCCAUCAGCUAGUUGGUGAGGUAAAAGCUCACCAAGGCUAUGACGGGUAGCUGGUCUGAGAGGACGACCAGCCACACUGGAACUGAGACACGGUCCAGACACCUACGGGUGGCAGCAGUCGAGAAUUUUUUCACAAUGGACGAAA